RNAcentral lists this ribosomal RNA (196 nucleotides) under uncultured bacterium. RNAcentral describes it as "partial 16S ribosomal RNA". It matches the Rfam family "Bacterial small subunit ribosomal RNA", at positions 1307 to 1500 of the family's 1533-position model. The record is from RNAcentral.
GAAAUUCGCCUUCAUGAAGCCGGAAUUGCUAGUAAUGGCAGGUCAGCAUACUGCCGUGAAUACGUUUCCGGGCCUUGUACACACCGCCCGUCACACCAUGAGAGUUGGGGAUACCCGAAGCCUGUGAGCUAACUAUUUAUAGGAGCAGNAGUCGAAGGUAGAAUCAAUGAUUGGGGUGAAGUCGUAACAAGGUAAC